RNAcentral lists this ribosomal RNA (879 nucleotides) under Russula sp. 3 TM03_407. RNAcentral's name for it is "eukaryotic LSU rRNA". It matches the Rfam family "Eukaryotic large subunit ribosomal RNA", at positions 75 to 932 of the family's 3401-position model. The record is from RNAcentral. Lineage: Eukaryota; Fungi; Basidiomycota; Agaricomycetes; Russulales; Russulaceae.
UUCCCCUAGUAACUGCGAGUGAAGCGGGAAAAGCUCAAAUUUAAAAUCUGGUGGUCUUUGGCCAUCCGAGUUGUAAUUUAGAGAAGCGUCUUCCGCGCUGGACCGUGCACAAGUCUCCUGGAAUGGAGCGUCGUAGAGGGUGAGAAUCCCGUCUUUGGCACGGACGCACCAGGGCUUCUGUGAUGCGCUCUCGAAGAGUCGAGUUGUUUGGGAAUGCAGCUCAAAAUGGGUGGUGAACUCCAUCUAAAGCUAAAUAUUGGCGAGAGACCGAUAGCGAACAAGUACCGUGAGGGAAAGAUGAAAAGCACUUUGGAAAGAGAGUGAAACAGUACGUGAAAUUGUUGAAAGGGAAACGCUUGAAGUCAGUCGCGUCGCCCGAGACUCAGCCUUGCCUUGGCUUGGUGUACUUCUCGGCCGACGGGUCAGCAUCAAUUUUGCCCCUUGGAUAAUGGCGAGGGAAAUGUGGCACCUUCACGGGUGUGUUAUAGUCUCUCGUCGCAUGCAAGGGUCGGGAUUGAGGAACUCAGCACGCGCCUUUCGGCGUCGGGGUUCGCCCACGAUACGUGCUUAGGAUGUUGGCGUAAUGGCUUUAAACGACCCGUCUUGAAACACGGACCAAGGAGUCUAACAUGCCCGCGAGUGUUCGGGUGGAAAACCCGUGCGCGCAAUGAAAGUGAAAGUUGGGACCUCUGUCGUGGAGGGCACCAACGCCCGGACCAGACCUUCUGUGACGGAUCUGCGGUAGAGCGUGUAUGUUAGGACCCGAAAGAUGGUGAACUAUGCCUGAAUAGGGUGAAGCCAGAGGAAACUCUGGUGGAGGCUCGUAGCGAUUCUGACGUGCAAAUCGAUCGUCAAAYUUGGGUAUAGGGGCGAAAGACU